Magnolia sinica is the source of this 3828-nucleotide long non-coding RNA. RefSeq lists it as uncharacterized. The transcript has 7 exons. The record is from RefSeq and is a predicted model, not a curated record. Lineage: Eukaryota; Viridiplantae; Streptophyta; Magnoliopsida; Magnoliales; Magnoliaceae.
AUUGAUACAUCUUACUGAUUGCUUUCAUCAUGUGCAAAUUUUGACAUUGUUUUUUUCUCUUUCUGGGUUGUCUUCUAACAGGAAAUGUCUUUUGGAUGGAAACUUUUUGUAAAUAUACAUCUCUGCCUGCUUCACUUUAAGGAAUGUUUCAUACAGUUUAAAUUUGCAGUUUUCCAUGGCAAUGGCAUUAAUAUUUUUGGUAUUUCAUGAUGUUUUCUAAGCAUUAUCUUUGAUCAGGUUAUCUUUGUGAAUGAUUCACGCUAAUACCAUGUCUAUGUUCUUCAUAUGUUGUUGAAAUUGACGCAGCAAGCAAUUAUCCAUUUACUCCUUUAGCUAAACAGAUUGCUAGUUCAUGUGGUUUUGCCUUUUACUUUUUUACUUUAUAAUUCAAUUGUAUUCAUUUAGGUUUCUUUUCUUGAAAAGGAAUUAUGGAAAUUGUAACAGUUAAGUUCCUACAUGUUCAAAAAUUCCAGAAAACCAUUUUUUGUGGACUGCUACCUUUUAUUUGUCAAUAUCCAUAUAGUUUGAGCCUGACGCUCGAUGGUUUCUAAUGAGCCUGACCUAGAUUCUUUUCACAAGUGCUUUUUUUUUUUUCAAAGCUUGAGGUGAUACAAUUAUCUUGCUGGUGGCUUUAUUUGUUGUGACUUAAACCAAAGUAAGAACUUGCGGAAAUUGACUCUGUUUUUCUGGAGAAUGAACUGAGUCACACCUGAAAUAUUUGUCAUUUGGGUGAAGUAUAAUGAUUUCAGCCCUGGGUUGAAACUGAGUUUUGGAUUGUUCACAAUAUAACAAUAAGUAGUUGUUCACUAUUGCUGUUAACUCUUAUCUUCAAGCAUUGAUAAUGAUGCUCUCAACUUUAAGCAUGAACUAUUUUUACUAAUGAUGCUGAUGUCCCGCAGCUCAUGUCUUGCAAAGGGAGCAUGAAUUACUACGUGUCUAUAUGCUUACCUUUUUUUUUAAUAGGCAAUAUCUAUAUGGUUAUCUUAAGCAUUGAGGUUUGUAUGCUAAACUAAAUGUGCAGCCACUUGAUGGCUGGGAGUGAGCCACUUUCUCAAACUCUCAAGGGAACAGUAGAUGAUCAAAAUAUUUCUUUUCUUGAUGCUGUAAGAUCUGCUGGCUACACCAAAAAUCGAGUGGAUCUAUCUAGCAUGUUUGUAAAGAAGGGGACUUAUUUUACUUUUCUAAAGUUAUGCAUAGAGCAGGGUCCCAUACUGGAAAAGAAGGUAUGUUUCAUCUCAGACUAAAAGCCCUUUGCUUUCCCCAUUUAAAAAAUUUGUUAAUGCGAAAUAUCGGCAUCUAGGUGUUUCUAUUGGUUUCGUAACUGCUAUUGCUGUGCCCGCAAGUAUUAAGGUGGAUUUUGAAGGCAAUGGAGGACAUGCAGGGGGAGUCCUCCAUUUUCCCUUGUUUGAUCAGUGCAAAAGACAAUAAGUCACAUGCCUGUGAGAUGAAUUUUACAAAGGAAACCAAUCAAUAGCUAUAGAAAUCUUAAAAGGGCUGAUUUUCACCAUCAAAGUAUGUCUUAAAGACUAGCAAUCACUUGUAUCGCUGUUUACACUAUCUGAGUUUGAGCCUUUGACCCUUCUUGUGAACUGUGGCAAUGGGCAUUUGUUUUACUAUUUGGGAUCCAUGAUUUGGGUUCUUAAGUCGGAGUGCAUUUGGUUGCACCAAAUAUCAAGAAAUUUCAUGAUAUUUCAGUAUUAGUCAAUUUAAUUUGAUGCAAAUUUUCAUGCCAUUUCAUGAAAUUUGGUGCAACCAAACACACUUAAACAUAUUGUUUACCCAUGUCCUUAGAGAGGCAUAUGUUAUUGACGAAACCGUAGCCAAGGAAAGUGUUUAAAUGGAUCCACUUUGAAUUGGGAAUUCUUUCUACUAUCUUGCUGAAUUCGAUGAAUUUAUGAAUGACAAGCUAUUUGUUCUGUUCUUCUUCUUUUUGUCUGAAUUUAAAUGGCUUUUGGACACCCUAUGAUUGCAUAGGAGCAUCUCGAAAGGAUAACACAGUAUAAUCUGAAGUUUCUGAUAUUUUUUUAUUUUUUUAUUUUUCUGUUUUUUUUAAAAGCAAUGUCGAACAAGGCUACUGUGUUGAAAUGCAUUGAAGCAAUUGAAAAUGCUGCUUAGUUCUCCUAUUUAAUCACCGUCAACUGAAGAUUGAAUUCACCUCAUCCAUUUGUCUUGUUUGUUUGUGGGAUACAUAGUUUUGCUAAUUCCGUGGACUUACAAUUUUAUUUUCUUGCAGCCUGACAGCAUUUGGGUUAUGGAUGAUAAAGCUACUGCUAGAGAAACAAUGAAAAAAGUUGGUGUACCAACUGUACCUGGAAGCGAUGGAUUUUACGGGUAACAAGCCAUAUGCUUUCUGGACAUUGGUUAAUCGUAGGAGCAUAUUUACUAUUACCCUUAAAUUUGGUAUUGAUUACUGAAUCUUUUCUUUGUUGAAAUUUCAGUCCAUGGAGGAGGCUAUCAAGCUUGCUCAUGAGAUUGGUUUCCCUGUGAUGAAGACGGUUCACCACAAUACUUACCACAAAGAUCCUUAUGCAAAGGAGUUUGGCAUCAAAAUCAGUGAGAAACUUGCUUCGGUUGAAGCACGCAUUUUACCUACACUUGGCUUAAAUUCCAUGACACUGGUAGAGAAAAGGAUUGCUUGCCCCAAGUGGGUCAAUGGAAUAUGAUGAAUAAGGCCUUGCACGUAACAGGGGGUGUCCAUCUGAAGCCCUAGUAUUUAGAGGGAUUGUUUCAAUAUCUUUCGGCAAAACCUGAUGCAAGGAAGUUGAUCGAUGCUACUAUUGCCUUGCUUAUAGCGUCCACAUCGAAUCUUCUGAUUUUUGCAGGAAGAUCCUUCAGCUGGAGAACAUUGUGGAAUUUCUCGGAAAGAAAACAGGCUCAAAAGAAGAUUAGCGAUGGUACAUAUGUUGGUGGGUUUUGUUCUGAUUCGUUAAAGCUACAUGAUCAGCCAGCCUUAAUUAUUAGCUUUGAUCUUGAUGAACAACACAAUUUUUGGUAGUGGAUCGAUUGAAAUACAGCAUAACCCAUGAAUUUUCCACGGCCCAUUAAUGUUUUCCUUAGGAACUGUUGUGCAUAUCUGAUUGUAGCUAUACAUGCACCCUGAUUUCAAUGGAUUCUACCACACCUUUGGGGGAGGAAGAAAUCGUGGUGCUAACGGGAAACCCAUACUUUUCGUGCAUUAUUUCACAGUCGCAUAUCAAAUCGCCAUGUUAGAUGGCAUUUAAGGAGACUAUGAACAGGCUGGAUUCAGACCCCAGGAAGAGAUGGAAUGUAAGUGACAGUAUGACAAGGACAUUUGGCAUGAAGCCGGUAUACAUGCUUUUGGCAGUUACACCAUUUACGGUAAGCUCUCGUUGGUUGCUGAGUGUUGUUCUGUUUUUGUUAUUUUGUUUGGUUUGGUUAUUUGAAGUUGGAUUGAAUUUGGCAAGUUUGGAUGCCUGCAAAGUCCUUAAGUUGUAAAGGGAUUACAGGGACUGUUUGGAUGCAUGUAUUUGCCUGUAAAGGCUUUACAGGCUUUGAAAGAUACUGAAUUUUAUUAAAGCCUGAAGGGCAGACUGGGCAACCCAGAAACAACUAUCUAGAUGUCCAAUCUCUCACAAGAUACAUCACCCUAGAACCAGUCCCAUAAGAAGAGCUGCUUCUAUUCCUGAAAAUGCAGUCGUUUCUUUCCACCCGAAUGGCCCAAAUGAUAGCCAAAAGAGAGAGGUCCCAUUUAGAGUUCUUGUUACUGGGAACAACUUGUAAAACGUUAAGAGAUCAUUUAGAGACUUCCCAAUUUGGAAUUUACUUGAACUGCAAAUGGAAUGACUUGUAUGAUUCUCUUCUUUUUCU